UGACCUCAGAUCAGGUAGGGAUACCCGCUGAACUUAAGCAUAUCAAUAAGCGGAGGAAAAGAAACCAACAGGGAUUGCCCUAGUAACGGCGAGUGAAGCGGCAAAAGCUCAGAUUUGAAAUCUGGCGUCAUUUUGACGUCCGAGUUGUAGUCUGCAGAGGUGUAUUCGAGUGUGGCUUUGGCUUAAGUUCCUUGGAACAGGACGUCAUAGAGGGUGAGAACCCCGUUAACGGCCUUUGUCCUAUGCUCAUGUGAAUCUCCUUCAACGAGUCGAGUUGUUUGGGAAUGCAGCUCUAAAUGGGUGGUAAAUUCCAUCUAAAGCUAAAUACUGGCAAGAGACCGAUAGCGCACAAGUAGAGUGAUCGAAAGAUGAAAAGAACUCUGAACAGAGAGUUAAAUAGUACGUGAAAUUGUUGAAAGGGAAGCACUUCCGACCAGACGCACUUGCAGCCGAUCAACCUUCAUUCUUGAGGGUGCACUCGGUUGUCUGUGGGUCAGCAUCAGUUAUGGUGGUAGGAAAAAGACCGAGGGAAUGUGACUCCUCUCGGGGAGUGUUAUAGCCCUUGGUGCAAUGCUGCUUACUGUGACUGAGGACCGCGCUUCGGCGAGGAUGUUGGCAUAAUGGUCGUAAGUGACCCGUCUUGAAACACGGACCA
RNAcentral lists this ribosomal RNA (655 nucleotides) under Pezizales sp. LB-P4. RNAcentral's name for it is "eukaryotic LSU rRNA". It matches the Rfam family "Eukaryotic large subunit ribosomal RNA", at positions 1 to 668 of the family's 3401-position model. The record is from RNAcentral. Lineage: Eukaryota; Fungi; Ascomycota; Pezizomycetes; Pezizales.